GACCUAUGUGUUCCCUGCCAGCGUGGAUUGCAUCUUCAAACUGCCCAGAGCUUUUGGACAACCAAACACACACAGGAUGGAUGAUAGCAUGGAGACACUCCAAGGAGCCUCUCUCCACCAUCUUCAUCCCUGAACAUCCAUCUCCUUGUGGGUUGCAAACACGAACAGGCCAAGUGGUGGUGCCCCUGUCAGUCACUCACCGCUCUCUGGAGCUGAAGAUCAAGCCUCGCUUCGUUUGCUUUGUCAUCUACAUUUUUGUGCAGACAAGUUUUGAACAGGCUCUGUGGCGUUCACUCCAGUCCCAGCCAUUCCUGGGGAUGAAUAGACAUUUGAUGAAGCCUGGAAGGACAGUUGAAACAUUUCAUCUGACGGACCUCAACUUUUCCUGAACAGAGCAUCUCAGAGCCGUGGACUUCCCAGCAGUCCACGAGCAUUGUGUUUGAAUAAAAAAUGAAAACCAGUAAAUACAAGCAGCAGGAAAACUG
Molecule: long non-coding RNA, 485 nt
Filed under: Mus caroli (Ryukyu mouse)
Lineage: Eukaryota; Metazoa; Chordata; Mammalia; Rodentia; Muridae
Description: lncRNA (MGP_CAROLIEiJ_G0004625.1)
Source: RNAcentral